GACGAACGCUGGCGGCGUGCUUAACACAUGCAAGUCGAACGGGUCUGCCCUGUUUUUUGCGGGGUGGGUCAGUGGCGAACGGGUGAGUAACACGUGAGUAACCUGCCCCUCACUUCUGGAUAACCGCUUGAAAGGGUGGCUAAUACGGGGUGUUCUGGCUGUGCCGCAUGGUGUGGCUGGGAAAGAUUCACUUUUGUGGUGUUUUGGUGGGGGAUGGGCUCGCGGCCUAUCAGCUUGUUGGUGGGGUGAUGGCCUGCCAAGGCUUUGACGGGUAGCCGGCCUGAGAGGGUGGGCGGUCACACUGGGACUGAGAUACGGCCCAGACCCCUGCGGGAGGCAGCAGUGGGGGGUAUUGCACAAUGGGCGGAAGCCUGAUGCAGCGACGUCGCGUGAGGGAUGGAGGCCUUCGGGUUGUGAACCUCUUUCGCCGGUGAAGAAGGUCCUGCUCUUUGUGGUGGGGUUGACGGUAGCCGGGUUAUGAAGCGCCGGCUAACUACGUG
RNAcentral lists this ribosomal RNA (500 nucleotides) under uncultured bacterium. Its description in RNAcentral is "partial 16S ribosomal RNA". It matches the Rfam family "Bacterial small subunit ribosomal RNA", at positions 28 to 507 of the family's 1533-position model. The record is from RNAcentral.